This is a long non-coding RNA of Scophthalmus maximus (turbot), 1169 nucleotides long. RefSeq lists it as uncharacterized. Lineage: Eukaryota; Metazoa; Chordata; Actinopteri; Pleuronectiformes; Scophthalmidae. The record is from RefSeq and is a predicted model, not a curated record. The transcript has 3 exons.
UCUGUUUGCUGUUCCUUUGUGUUGUGUUGCUGUGCUGCUAAUGGAAUAUAAAUGCUAAAGCUAAAUUAAAUGAAAAAGUGUAGGCCACUGUGCCACCUCUACACUGUGAUUCCACAAUGGCUGAAUACUUCAGGUCAGAAGACGGAGCCCCAGUUCAACCAGUUCAUCACAAGUGGGCUGACAGAAGAGUCGAUAUCAAGGAAGGAUGAAAUACUGAUGGGAAAACGAAUGCAUCCGGGCACCAUACUGGUCUAGCAGCACGUCAUACUGGAGCUGGAGUAACACCGUCCCGUCCCUCCAGUGCAACGUGGCGACUCUCCUUCCAGCUGCGAGAUCAAAUGAAAGGUGGGUGUAACAUCAUGACAGUGGAAUGAGCGGACCAAUAUUCCCGUAUAUCUGUGCACCGAGACUAAAAGCGAUGUUAAUCCACCGUCUCUUUGUCUCCAAUGGACCGGCCUAAUCCCCGCAGAUUACACUGGAAUAUAGGGUUACAAUACUGUCAUAGUUGUGUAAUGCAACAAAUCCUGAUAUCUUGCAAUGCACACACACACGCACACACACGCACGCACGCACGCACGCACGCACACACACACACACACACACACACACACACACACACACACACACACACACACACACACACAGACCAUAUAUGAGACAGGAAACCAGAGACAGGGCCCGACUAUAAAUCGCACAUGCCGACUCUGGCAUGCACCAGAUCAACGAGGAUGAAAUGAAACAAAUUCCUCUUUGCCGCAAAAAUAUUCACACGGACAAGAGACAUGCUGCAGCAGUAAUUAGCCUUUAAAUAUCAAGGGUCGAAAGCAUUAAUACUAAUAAUAGUAAUAAUAAUAUCAAUAUAAUAAUAAUAAUAAUAAUCUGACCCAAUAACGUAUGUCUCCUGUGUGAAGACGAUUGUAUUUGCAAUAUGUUCACGCACAUGCCCUUUAGAACAAUAGACGUGCUACCCGGUGAAUGCCAGUGUCACUAAAUAUGAAGAAUUAAUUAAUUAGAAGACGAGGAUGAACAUUCUUUUUUUUUUUUUUUAAUUUUCCCUUUCAUUCCAGCUACACACAGUUAAAACUGGGCCGAAUAAGACCACUGCCUGUAUCAUGUGACGUCAUGUCAACGGUUAAUGCGCAGGCCUCUGACUGAAAAACAAAAAGAAA